GAUGAACGCUGGCGGCGUGCCUAAUACAUGCAAGUCGAGCGAACAGACGAGGAGCUUGCUCCUUCGACGUUAGCGGCGGACGGGUGAGUAACACGUAGGUAACCUACCUAUAAGACUGGGAUAACUUCGGGAAACCGGAGCUAAUACCGGAUAAUAUUUCGAACCGCAUGGUUCGAUAGUGAAAGAUGGCUUUGCUAUCACUUAUAGAUGGACCUGCGCCGUAUUAGCUAGUUGGUAAGGUAACGGCUUACCAAGGCAACGAUACGUAGCCGACCUGAGAGGGUGAUCGGCCACACUGGAACUGAGACACGGUCCAGACUCCUACGGGAGGCAGCAGUAGGGAAUCUUCCGCAAAGGGCGAAAGCCUGACGGAGCAACGCCGCGUGAGUGAUGAAGGUCUUCGGAUCGUAAAACUCUGUUAUUGGGGAAGAACAAACGUGUAAGUAACUGUGCACGUCUUGACGGUACCUAAUCAGAAAGCCACGGCUAACUACGUG
This 497-nucleotide ribosomal RNA is filed under the name uncultured bacterium. RNAcentral describes it as "partial 16S ribosomal RNA". It matches the Rfam family "Bacterial small subunit ribosomal RNA", at positions 28 to 507 of the family's 1533-position model. The record is from RNAcentral.